Molecule: ribosomal RNA, 253 nt
Filed under: uncultured bacterium
Lineage: Bacteria
Description: partial 16S ribosomal RNA
Rfam family: Bacterial small subunit ribosomal RNA
Source: RNAcentral
GACAGAGGUGGCAAGCGUUGUUCGGAAUCACUGGGCUUAAAGAGCACGUAGGCGGCCGGGUAUGUCCGGCGUGAAAGCCCUCGGCCCAACCGAGGAACUGCGCCGGAAACUGCCCGGCUCGAGGGCAGAAGAGGAGAGUGGAACUCCUGGUGUAGCGGUGAAAUGCGUAGAUAUCAGGAGGAACGCCGGAGGCGAAAGCGACUCUCUGGGCUGUCCCUGACGCUGUGGUGCGAAAGCCAGGGGAGCGAACGGG